GAUGAACGCUAGCGGCAGGCUUAACACAUGCAAGUCGAGGGGCAGCAUGAGGAGUCAGCAAUGACACCUUGAUGGCGACCGGCGCAAGGGUGCGUAACGCGUGAGCAACCUGCCCGUCACGGGGGGAUAACCGGUGGAAACGCCGACUAAUAUCCCAUAGUUCUUUUAGGGGCAUCCCUUUAAAGAUAAAGGCUUCGGCCGGUGACGGAUGGGCUCGCGUGACAUUAGGCAGUAGGCGGGGUAACGGCCCACCUAACCUACGAUGUCUAGGGGUUCUGAGAGGAAGGUCCCCCACACUGGAACUGAGACACGGUCCAG
RNAcentral lists this ribosomal RNA (318 nucleotides) under uncultured bacterium. RNAcentral describes it as "bacterial SSU rRNA". It matches the Rfam family "Bacterial small subunit ribosomal RNA", at positions 28 to 334 of the family's 1533-position model. The record is from RNAcentral.